CCUACGGGUGGCAGCAGUGGGGAAUAUUGCACAAUGGGGGGAACCCUGAUGCAGCGACGCCGCGUGGGUGAAGGAGUAUUUCGGUAUGUAAAGCCCUAUCAGCAGGGAAGAACCAUGACGGUACCUGUCUAAGAAGCACCGGCUAAAUACGUGCCAGAAGCCGCGGUAAUACGUAGGGUGCAAGCGUUAUUCGGAAUUACUGGGUGUAAAGGGAGCGCAGGCGGCGCGUUAAGCCUGGUGUGAAAGCCCGCGGCCCAACGGCGGGACUGCAUUUGGAACUGGCGCGCUGGAGUGCUUGAGGGGAAAGCGGAAGUCCUAGUGUAGCGGUGAAAUGCGUAGAUAUUAGGAGGAACACCAGUGGCGAAGGCGACCAACUGGACGGUGACUGACGCUGAGGCACGAAAGCGUGGGUAUCGAACAGGAUUAGAUACCCUAGUAGUC
Molecule: ribosomal RNA, 441 nt
Filed under: uncultured bacterium
Lineage: Bacteria
Description: partial 16S ribosomal RNA
Rfam family: Bacterial small subunit ribosomal RNA
Source: RNAcentral